RNAcentral lists this long non-coding RNA (211 nucleotides) under Mytilus galloprovincialis (Mediterranean mussel). The record is from RNAcentral. Lineage: Eukaryota; Metazoa; Mollusca; Bivalvia; Mytilida; Mytilidae.
CCUUGUAUCUUUCUGUUUACAUUCACCAAAACCCCGCGGAAAUCUCACAUGCGUAGGUGCGUUUUAAAAGUCAUGUACGUUUGUACAACAAAGUUUACAUUAAAAAUUAUAUAAUUGUCCCGAAUAAACAGCUGUCACGGAUGCAAAGAACUAUUGGAGAAACAAUUAUUUUAAUAAAAAUAUAAAUCUUUGUAAGAUCUAGUUCAAAUAU